CGUCUGCCUGCACGCUGCCAUGCUCUCCACCACGAUGAUAAUGGACUGAACUUCUGAACUAGACCCUCACAGGUCUCAGAGUUACACAGAGAAGCAGUCAGGACCAGACGCCUGGAUGAAGCUCUCCAAUCGCAAAGCUGCUUCUCCACCGAUAGAGCAAUGAUGGCCUGUGGUGAGGAGGGACGGAAUAAAAAGCAAUCUAUGUUA
Molecule: long non-coding RNA, 207 nt
Organism: Mesocricetus auratus (golden hamster)
Lineage: Eukaryota; Metazoa; Chordata; Mammalia; Rodentia; Cricetidae
Exons: 2
Source: RefSeq, a predicted model, not a curated record